RNAcentral lists this small nucleolar RNA (204 nucleotides) under Octodon degus (degu). RNAcentral's name for it is "Small nucleolar RNA SNORA73 family (ENSODEG00000022742.1)". It matches the Rfam family "Small nucleolar RNA SNORA73 family". From Rfam's summary of the family: U17 (SNORA73A and SNORA73B) also known as E1 belongs to the H/ACA class of small nucleolar RNAs (snoRNAs). Vertebrate U17 is intron-encoded and ranges in length from 200-230 nucleotides, longer than most snoRNAs. It is one of the most abundant snoRNAs in human cells and is essential for the cleavage of pre-rRNA within the 5' external transcribed spacer (ETS). The record is from Rfam by way of RNAcentral. Lineage: Eukaryota; Metazoa; Chordata; Mammalia; Rodentia; Octodontidae.
CCAAUGUGGAUACCCCGGGAGGUCACUCUCCCCAGAAUCUGACAAGGUGGCCUGCGGGAGCAUAGGGCUCUGCUCCACGAUGUACAAUCCCUUUCCACAACAUUGGAGAAGAAGCUGGGCCUCAUGCCUGAGCCUGCACAUUCCUACAACUUCUCAGAGUCCUUUGGGCAGUGACUGAGGAGACAAACCAUGCAGGAAACAAUG